AGCAGUCGCCGCGGGAAUACGUAGGUCCCGAGCGUUGUCCGGAUUUAUUGGGCGUAAAGCGAGCGCAGGCGGUUAGAUAAGUCUGAAGUUAAAGGCUGUGGCUUAACCAUAGUACGCUUUGGAAACUGUUUAACUUGAGUGCAAGAGGGGAGAGUGGAAUUCCAUGUGUAGCGGUGAAAUGCGCAGAUAUAUGGAGGAACACCGGUGGCGAAAGCGGCUCUCUGGUCUGUAACUGACGCUGAGGCUCGAAAGCGUGGGGAGCGAACAGGAUUAGAUACCCCGGUAGUCCCUGUCUCUUAUACA
RNAcentral lists this ribosomal RNA (303 nucleotides) under uncultured bacterium. Its description in RNAcentral is "partial 16S ribosomal RNA". It matches the Rfam family "Bacterial small subunit ribosomal RNA", at positions 507 to 808 of the family's 1533-position model. The record is from RNAcentral.